This is an RNA transcript of Heterocephalus glaber (naked mole-rat), 1598 nucleotides long. It is a transcript of the gene named dynein light chain Tctex-type 2B, with no coding region annotated. The record is from RefSeq and is a predicted model, not a curated record. NCBI's taxonomy places the organism in Eukaryota, Metazoa, Chordata, Mammalia, Rodentia, Bathyergidae.
UCUGGUUGUGCUGUCAUAACUGCUUUGAUGUCCUGAGUCGGUUCAAAACGUUGUCCUUUCAUGGUCAUUUUGACUUUGGGGAAGAGCCAGAAGUAGCAGGGUGCCAGAUCUGGUGAACAAGGUGGAUGAGGACACAGCGUAAUGUUUUGAGGAGCCCGCCUUUUGCAGCACUCUGCAUUUCUGGGCUCCUGUACACACCUACCCGUCCGCAGCCGGAGGCCCAACCUCUGCCAGUUCCGGCCCUCAGCGGUGCGCUUGCGCGGCCGAGGCCGGCCGAGGCCAGCCGCUCCCGGAGCAAGCGUUGGCGUCACGUGACCGCCAAGGGUGUUCCUGUCGCCCUGGCGACGGCCUCCCCGCUGCUCGCCUUAGCUGUCCGGGCCAGGCCUUCAUCGCGAGAUACACCGGGUCCAGGAGCCCUGGCCAUGGCCACCUCCGCAGGCAUGUCCUUGUCUGCAGGCCUAUCCUCUCCCGGGGUCGACGAGGUGCCUGAGACUGAGAAGAACUCAGGAGACCCGGAGAACACCUAUAUCCUGAGGCCCAUUUUCCAGCAAAGGUUCAGGCCCUCUGUGGUGAAAGACUGCAUCCACGCAGUGCUCAAGGCCGAGCUGGCCAGCACCGAGUACUCGGCAGAAGAAACGCCCCAGCUCACCAGGCGCCUAUCAGAAAACAUCAAAGAUAAGUUAAAAGAGAUGGGAUUUGACCGAUACAAAAUGGUGGUGCAAGUAGUGAUUGGAGAGCAAAGAGGCGAAGGAGUUUUAAUUCACCAGAUCUGGCACCCUGCGACUUCUGGCUCUUCCCCAAAGUCAAAAUGAUCAUGAAAGAUAAACAUUUCCAAUGGAUUCAGGACAUCAAGGCAGCCAAGACAGUGCAACUGAAGACACUCAGGAAAGACCACUUCGGAACCGUUUCAGACAGUGCAUGGCAGCUCGAUGCUUCUGGGAUGCGGACACUGACAACUACACUCAUGAUGUUUUCAUGAACGACAGUUUAUUCUGUGUGGUAGCAGCAUUUGGCUGUUUCUACUAUUGAAUCUUUGAAAACCUGGGAAAAGAUGUGACCAUGAAGAAAUCUGAACUUUUUAAAACUGUUUAAUAUCUUGAUGAAAUAAAAAUGUGUUGGCAGUUUAGCAACUGAAUCUGUUGUUUUAGGCUUUAUAUUUUUAGUGUUUUGAGUCUGUUACAGUAGUAUAUUUGGAAAGUAGAGGGAAAAGUUGGGGACACUCCAUUUCAAUUUUCAAGCAUAACCAACAAAAUAUUUUGGUAAAUUUCUUAUCAGUUCAUUUGCAGGGUUUAAAAUGAUACAUACAGCAUUGUACACUGAUUUUUUUCUACUUGUUAUAAUGUAACAAGUUAUGUCAUUUUAUGUGCAUUAGGACUUUCAGAAGCAUCACUUCCAUUGCUGCAUUUGUUCCAGGUCCACCACUGUCGCUACUGCCAUUUCCUUACGGAGGGACUAUUUUCUAGUCUUUCAGUAUUCCCAAAAUACAGAUGAAUCUCUUUGUACAUAAAGCUUUCUCUCUCUCCUCUGCCCUUGUCACCUAUGACUUACACACUUAUGAGUUUAAACACACAUCCAUUUCUCUGGGGUUUGUCCAAGUG